UACGGGGGGGGCAAGCGUUGUUCGGAAUUACUGGGCGUAAAGGGCUCGUAGGUGGCCAACUAAGUCAGACGUGAAAUCCCUCAGCUUAACUGGGGAACUGCGUCUGAUACUGGAUGGCUUGAGUUUGGGAGAGGGAUGCGGAAUUCCAGGUGUAGCGGUGAAAUGCGUAGAUAUCUGGAGGAACGCCGGUGGCGAAAGCGACUGUCUGGGGUGUCUGUGACGCUGAGGCGCGAAAGCCAGGGGAUCAAACGGG
RNAcentral lists this ribosomal RNA (253 nucleotides) under uncultured bacterium. RNAcentral describes it as "partial 16S ribosomal RNA". It matches the Rfam family "Bacterial small subunit ribosomal RNA", at positions 524 to 776 of the family's 1533-position model. The record is from RNAcentral.